CAGACAGACAGUACACUGGAGAUUAAGUCAUGCACUAAAUAGGGAGCAAGGGAGCAUCCUAUAGCUCUCUAUAACUGUUCUGAGACCAGUGCAGACAGACAACACACUGGAGGUUAAGUCAUGCACUAAAUAGGGAGCAAGGGAGCAUCCUAUAUCUCUCCUAUAACUGUUCUGAGACCAUUGCAGACAGACAGCACACUGGAGGUUAAGUCAUGCACUAAAUAGGGAGCAAGGGAGCAUCCUAUAGCUCUCCUAUAACUGUUCUGAGACCAGUGCAGACAGACAGCACACUGGAGGUUAAGUCAUGCACUAAAUAGGGAGCAAGGGAGCAUCCUAUAUCUCUCCUAUAACUGUUCUGAGACCAGUGCAGACAGACAGCACACUGGAGGUUAAGUCAUGCACUAAAUAGGGAGCAAGGGAGCAUCCUAUAGCUCUCCUAUAACUGUUCUGAGACCAGUGCAGACAGACAGCACACUGGAGGUUAAGUCAUGCACUAAAUAGGGAGCAAGGGAGCAUCCUAUAGCUCUCCUAUAACUGUUCUGAGACCAGUGCAGACAGACAGCACACUGGAGGUUAAGUCAUGCACUAAAUAGGGAGCAAGGGAGCAUCCUAUAGCUCUCUAUAACUGUUCUGAGACCAGUGCAGACAGACAGCACACUGGAGGUUAAGUCAUGCACUAAAUAGGGAGCAUCCUAUAGCUCUCCUAUAACUGUUCUGAGACCAGUGCAGACAGACAGCACACUGGAGGUUAAGUCAUGCACUAAAUAGGGAGCAAGGGAGCAUCCUAUAGCUCUCUAUAACUGUUCUGAGACCAGUGCAGACAGACAGCACACUGGAGGUUAAGUCAUGCACUAAAUAGGGAGCAAGGGAGCAUCCUAUAGCUCUCCUAUAACUGUUCUGAGACCAGUGCAGACAGACAGCACACUGGAGGUUAAGUCAUGCACUAAAUAGGGAGCAAGGGAGCAUCCUAUAGCUCUCCUAUAACUGUUCUGAGACCAGUGCAGACAGACAGCACACUGGAGGUUAAGUCAUGCACUAAAUAGGGAGCAAGGAAGCAUCCUAUAGCUGUAGGUAGAUUUUAG
This is a long non-coding RNA of Xyrauchen texanus (razorback sucker), 1082 nucleotides long. RefSeq lists it as uncharacterized. The transcript has 3 exons. The record is from RefSeq and is a predicted model, not a curated record. NCBI's taxonomy places the organism in Eukaryota, Metazoa, Chordata, Actinopteri, Cypriniformes, Catostomidae.